Molecule: long non-coding RNA, 568 nt
Filed under: Gossypium barbadense (sea-island cotton)
Lineage: Eukaryota; Viridiplantae; Streptophyta; Magnoliopsida; Malvales; Malvaceae
Description: long non-coding RNA (GBAR_LNC017102)
Source: RNAcentral
UUUUUGAUGAGGUUGCUGACCCUUUCGUGGCAGAGGCUCGGGCUUGCGAGAGAGCGUUGAUUUUUGCGCAUACGAUGGGUCUCCAACGGCUGGUGGUGGAAGGGGAUGCCUUGCCGGUCAUUAAAUCCAUUAGAAACAGAGAGGUGGGUAAAUCGAUUAUUAGAUCGAUCGUUCAUCACAUACAACAGCUAGAUAGGAGUUUUAAAGAGGUUACUUACACAUUUGUGCCUCGGGAAGGAAAUGAAGCGGCGCAUGCUCUUGCCAUUGAAGGAAGGAGGAGAGGGGUUUGUUGGAGAUGGGAUACUGAUGUUCCAAACUUGGUUCUGAAGGCGGUGAGGAAGGACUGGGCUGCGUGGGUACGGAAGUCUUAAGGUUGUUGUUGAAGUAGCUUUGAACUUUGGAGAAGGUUCGGUUGAAUCUCCAAGUAGCUGUUCAUAGUUCUGGUGUUUCCUUUCUGUGGGCUUGAUGAAGAAUACUGUGGGAAGCACGUUGACUGAUUUGGGGUUAUGGAAGAGUCACUGCAGAUGUUUGUUUGGUGUUUCUUUUCUUAAGUGAACUACCUGUUUUG